RNAcentral lists this ribosomal RNA (301 nucleotides) under uncultured bacterium. RNAcentral's name for it is "partial 16S ribosomal RNA". It matches the Rfam family "Bacterial small subunit ribosomal RNA", at positions 509 to 807 of the family's 1533-position model. The record is from RNAcentral.
CAGCAGCCGCGGUAAUACAGAGGAUGCAAGCGUUGUUCGGAUUUAUUGGGCGUAAGGGGUGCGUAGGCGGUUUGGCAAGUUUGGUGUGAAAUCUUCGGGCUCAACUCGAAGUCUGCAUCAAAAACUGCCGGGCUUGAGUAUGGGAGAGGUGAGUGGAAUUUCCGGUGUAGCGGUGAAAUGCGUAGAUAUCGGAAGGAACACCUGUGGCGAAAGCGGCUCACUGGACCAUUUCUGACGCUGAUGCACGAAAGCUAGGGGAGCAAACAGGAUUAGAUACCCCGGUAGUCCCUGUCUCUUAUAC